Molecule: ribosomal RNA, 253 nt
Filed under: uncultured bacterium
Lineage: Bacteria
Description: partial 16S ribosomal RNA
Rfam family: Bacterial small subunit ribosomal RNA
Source: RNAcentral
UACGGAGGGUGCAAGCGUUAUCCGGAAUCACUGGGCUUAAAGGGUGCGUAGGCGGCGCAGUAAGUUGGGUGUGAAAUCCCUCGGCUUAACCGAGGAAUUGCGCCCAAAACUACUGUGCUCGAGGGAGGUAGAGGUGAGCGGAACUUAGGGUGGAGCGGUGAAAUGCGUUGAUAUCCUAAGGAACACCGGUGGCGAAAGCGGCUCACUGGACCUCUUCUGACGCUGAGGCACGAAAGCUAGGGUAGCAAACGGG